This 434-nucleotide ribosomal RNA is filed under the name uncultured Ruminococcus sp. RNAcentral's name for it is "bacterial SSU rRNA". It matches the Rfam family "Bacterial small subunit ribosomal RNA", at positions 341 to 792 of the family's 1533-position model. The record is from RNAcentral. Lineage: Bacteria; Bacillati; Bacillota; Clostridia; Eubacteriales; Oscillospiraceae.
ACGGGAGGCAGCAGUGGGGAAUAUUGCACAAUGGGCGCAAGCCUGAUGCAGCGAUGCCGCGUGAGGGAAGAAGGUUUUCGGAUUGUAAACCUCUGUCAACAGGGACGAAAAUGACGGUACCUGUGAAGGAAGCUCCGGCUAACUACGUGCCAGCAGCCGCGGUAAUACGUAGGGAGCAAGCGUUAUCCGGAAUUACUGGGUGUAAAGGGAGUGUAGGCGGGACUGUAAGUCAGAUGUGAAAUAUGCCGGCUCAACUGGCAGACUGCAUUUGAAACUGUAUUUCUUGAGUGCUGGAGAGGUAGAUGGAAUUCCUUGUGUAGCGGUGAAAUGCGUAGAUAUAAGGAAGAACACCAGUGGCGAAGGCGAUCUACUGGACAGUAACUGACGCUGAGGCGCGAAAGCGUGGGGAGCAAACAGGAUUAGAUACCCUGGUA